ACAACUGCUCCCAACUUCCUUUUUCUCUGUAAAAUAAUAUUCUUCUCCUUGCUUGUUAGACUUGCCUACAGUUUUUGCUAUAGUAUGCUUGUCCCAGAUUGCAAUUCUCUGCUGUUCCCAAUAUACCCAUUUUACUAGUAAAUUAACAGGCCAUUUUAGUUUUUAGGACAACAUUAUUACUAGACAAUAGACUCCACAACCAGGAAAAUUACUAGGGAUAUUACACAAUGGUUAAAGGUUCAGUUCAUCAGGAAACCGUAUGCAGCUAAGCAGCAGAGCUCCAAAAUGAAGUAAAUCUAACAAACUUUAAAAUUAGAUCAUUAAUGCAUUCAUCUCAGUCAGUAUUGACUGAACAAGUAAACAGAAAAUCAGCAGGGAUAUUGCAGAUUCAAACAACAU
This is a long non-coding RNA of Phyllostomus discolor (pale spear-nosed bat), 399 nucleotides long. RefSeq lists it as uncharacterized. Lineage: Eukaryota; Metazoa; Chordata; Mammalia; Chiroptera; Phyllostomidae. The record is from RefSeq and is a predicted model, not a curated record. The transcript has 2 exons.